This 461-nucleotide ribosomal RNA is filed under the name uncultured Methanosaeta sp. RNAcentral describes it as "bacterial SSU rRNA". It matches the Rfam family "Archaeal small subunit ribosomal RNA", at positions 878 to 1338 of the family's 1478-position model. Lineage: Archaea; Methanobacteriati; Methanobacteriota; Methanomicrobia; Methanotrichales; Methanotrichaceae. The record is from RNAcentral.
ACUACGAACGGGUGGAGCCUGCGGUUUAAGUUGGAUCAACGCCGGAAAUCUCACCGGGGCGACAGCAAUAUGAAGGUCAGGCUGAAGACCUUACCCGAUUAGCUGAGAGGUGGUGCAUGGCCGUCGUCAGUUCGUACUGUGAAGCAUCCUGUUAAGUCAGGCAACGAGCGAGACCCACGUCCACAGUUGCCAGCAUACCCUCCGGGGUGAUGGGUACACUGUGGAGACCGCCGCUGCUAAAGCGGAGGAAGGAGUGGGCAACGGUAGGUCAGUAUGCCCCGAAUCUCCCGGGCUACACGCGGGCUACAAUGGUUGGUACAAUGGGCAUCUACCCCGAAGGGGGAAGGAAAUCUCUUAAAGCCAAUCGUAGUUCGGAUUGAGGGCUGCAACUCGCCCUCAUGAAGCUGGAAUCCGUAGUAAUCGCGUUUCAACAGAACGCGGUGAAUACGUCCCUGCUCCUU